Molecule: ribosomal RNA, 1398 nt
Filed under: uncultured bacterium
Lineage: Bacteria
Description: 16S ribosomal RNA
Rfam family: Bacterial small subunit ribosomal RNA
Source: RNAcentral
UUCGCCCUUAGAGUUCGUUCCUGGCUCAGGAUGAACGCUGGCGGCGUGCUUAACACAUGCAAGUCAAACCAAGCACUUAUGAUUGAGAUUUCGGUUGAUUGACAAAGUGACUUAGUGGGCGGACGGUGUGAGUAACGCGUGGGUAACCUGCCUCGUACAGGGGGAUAACAGUUAGAAAUGACUGCUAAUACCGCAUAACCCGCUAGGGGCGCAUGGCCCGGACGGAAAAGAUUUAUCGGUACUAGAUGGACCCGCGUCUGAUUACCUAGUUGGUGAGGUAACGGCCCACCGAGGCGACGAUCAGGAGCCGGCCUGAGAGGGUGACCGGCCACAUUGGGACUGAGACACGGCCCAAACUCCUACUGGAGGCACCGGCGGGGAAGCAUUGCACAAUGAGGGAAACCCUGAGGCAGCACCUCCGCAUGAGUGAAGAAGUAUUUGGGCUUCUAAACCUCUAUCAUCAAGGAACAUGAUGACGGUACCGGACUAAAGAGCCCCCGGGUACUACGUUCCAGCAGCCGCGGUAAUUCGUAGGUGCCAAGCGUUGUCCGGAAUUACUGGGGGUAAAGGGGGGGUGGGGGGGAAGCAAGUUUGGGGGUGAAAUCCAUGGGCUCAACCCCAGAACUGCUUUGAAAACUGUAUCCCUGAGUAUCGGAGAGGCAAGCGGAAUUCCUAGUGUAGCGGUGAAAUGCGUAGAUAUUAGGAGGAACACCAGUGGCGAAGGCGGCUUGCUGGUGGACAACUGGCGUUGAGGCGCGAAAGCGUGGGGAGCAAACAGGAUUAGAUACCCUGGUAGUCCACGCUGUAAACGAUGAAUACUAGGUGUGGGAGGACUGACCCCUUCCGUGCCGCAGUUAACACAAUAAGUAUUCCACCUGGGGAGUACGACCGCAAGGUUGAAACUCAAAGGAAUUGACGGGGGCCCGCACAAGCAGUGGAUUAUGUGGUUUAAUUCGACGCAACGCGAAGAACCUUACCAGGAUUUGACAUCCAACUAACGAAGCAGAGAUGCAUUAGGUGCCCUUCGGGGAAAGUUGAGACAGGUGGUGCAUGGUUGUCGUCAGCUCGUGUCGUGAGAUGUUGGGUUAAGUCCCGCAACGAGCGCAACCCCUAUUGUUAGUUACUACGCAAGAGCACUCUAGCGAGACUGCCGUUGACAAAACGGAGGAAGGCGGGGUCGACGUCAAAUCAUCAUGCCCCUUAUGUCAUGGGCUACACACGUAAUACAAUGGCCGUCCACAAAGGGAAGCGAAACCGCGAGGUGGAGCAAACCCCCAAAACCGGUCUCAGUUCGGAUUGCAGGCUGCAACUCGCCUGCAUGAAGCUGGAAUUGCUAGUAAUCGCGGAUCAGCAUGCCGCGAUGAACAAAAACCCGGCCCUUGCACACACCGCCCGUCA